AUGGGGUUUCCCUACAUGGGUACAAACACAAACAGGACAGCCUGUUGUGAUGGCCAAGUGGUGAAGGCGUUGAACUGGAAAUGGGGUUUCCCUACAUGGGUUCAAGCCCUGCUCACGGAUGGACUUGUACUGUCAGUCCCUGUCCCCCUGGCCCAGGAGGGACAGACAGACACAGGGCAAUCACACUGCCUCGAUGGACCCUGUGCUCCCAUCCUGGCCCUGGCCCGGAUCCCCAGGAACUCUUCACCCUUAGGAGAUGGUCAGGAGGGUGCUCAGGGGAGCAGCCCAGCAGCACUUCUUACCGCAGGAAAAAAUCCUGCAAUAGCAUGUCCCCACCAUAAAGACAGGUCACCCUGCUCCCUGCAGCCCAUCCCCUGCUCCCUACAGCCCAUCCCCUGCUCCCUACAGCCCAUCCCCUGCUCCCUACAGCCCAUCCCCUGCUCCCUACAGCUAUUGCUCUGCACUGAUUGA
Molecule: long non-coding RNA, 471 nt
Filed under: Ficedula albicollis (Collared flycatcher)
Lineage: Eukaryota; Metazoa; Chordata; Aves; Passeriformes; Muscicapidae
Description: lncRNA (ENSFALG00000027413.1)
Source: RNAcentral